Cavia aperea (Brazilian guinea pig) is the source of this 61-nucleotide microRNA precursor. Lineage: Eukaryota; Metazoa; Chordata; Mammalia; Rodentia; Caviidae. The record is from Ensembl.
GCCCUGCUCUGGCCUCCUUGGCCAGCGUCCUGGUCCUGGUCCUGGUCCUGCUGCCUCUGGC